CUACGGGAUGCUCCAGUAAAGAAUCUUCCACAAUGGGGGAAACCCUGAUGGAGCGACACCGCGUGCAGGAUGAAGGCCUUCGGGUUGUAAACUGCUUUUCUGGGGGAAUAAUUCUGAAGGUACCCUAGGAAUAAGCACCGGCUAACUCCGUGCCAGCAGCCGCGGUAAUACGGAGGGUGCAAACGUUACCCGGAAUCAUUGGGCGUAAAGCGUCCGCAGGCGGCGCAGUAAGUCAGAUAUUAAAUCCUGAGGCUCAACUUCGGGACCGUGUUUGAAACUACUGUGCUAGAGUCUUGGAGAGGUGAGUGGAAUUCUACAUGUAGGGGUAAAAUCCGUAGAUAGGUAGAGGAACACCAAAAGCGAAGGCAGCUCACCGGCCAAGUACUGACGCUCAUGGACGAAAGCGUGGGGAGCGAACGGGAUUAGAUACCCCAGUAGUC
RNAcentral lists this ribosomal RNA (440 nucleotides) under uncultured bacterium. RNAcentral's name for it is "partial 16S ribosomal RNA". It matches the Rfam family "Bacterial small subunit ribosomal RNA", at positions 339 to 795 of the family's 1533-position model. The record is from RNAcentral.